Molecule: ribosomal RNA, 1322 nt
Filed under: Serratia marcescens
Lineage: Bacteria; Pseudomonadati; Pseudomonadota; Gammaproteobacteria; Enterobacterales; Yersiniaceae
Description: partial 23S ribosomal RNA
Rfam family: Bacterial large subunit ribosomal RNA
Source: RNAcentral
CAGGUAACAUUAAAUCGUACCCCAAACCGACACAGGUGGUCAGGUAGAGAAUACCAAGGCGCUUGAGAGAACUCGGGUGAAGGAACUAGGCAAAAUGGUGCCGUAACUUCGGGAGAAGGCACGCUGGCAUGUAGGUGAAGUCCCUCGCGGAUGGAGCUGAAGCCAGUCGAAGAUACCAGCUGGCUGCAACUGUUUAAUAAAAACACAGCACUGUGCAAACACGAAAGUGGACGUAUACGGUGUGACGCCUGCCCGGUGCUGGAAGGUUAAUUGAUGGGGUCAGCCGCAAGGCGAAGCUCUUGAUCGAAGCCCCAGUAAACGGCGGCCGUAACUAUAACGGUCCUAAGGUAGCGAAAUUCCUUGUCGGGUAAGUUCCGACCUGCACGAAUGGCGUAAUGAUGGCCAGGCUGUCUCCACCCGAGACUCAGUGAAAUUGAACUCGCUGUGAAGAUGCAGUGUACCCGCGGCAAGACGGAAAGACCCCGUGAACCUUUACUAUAGCUUGACACUGAACAUUGAGCCUUGAUGUGUAGGAUAGGUGGGAGGCUUUGAAGCGUGGACGCCAGUCUGCGUGGAGCCAUCCUUGAAAUACCACCCUUUAAUGUUUGAUGUUCUAACUCGGCCCCGUGAUCCGGGGUGAGGACAGUGUCUGGUGGGUAGUUUGACUGGGGCGGUCUCCUCCCAAAGAGUAACGGAGGAGCACGAAGGUUAGCUAAUCACGGUCGGACAUCGUGAGGUUAGUGCAAAGGCAUAAGCUAGCUUGACUGCGAGAGUGACGGCUCGAGCAGGUACGAAAGUAGGUCUUAGUGAUCCGGUGGUUCUGAAUGGAAGGGCCAUCGCUCAACGGAUAAAAGGUACUCCGGGGAUAACAGGCUGAUACCGCCCAAGAGUUCAUAUCGACGGCGGUGUUUGGCACCUCGAUGUCGGCUCAUCACAUCCUGGGGCUGAAGUAGGUCCCAAGGGUAUGGCUGUUCGCCAUUUAAAGUGGUACGCGAGCUGGGUUUAGAACGUCGUGAGACAGUUCGGUCCCUAUCUGCCGUGGGCGUUGGAAGAUUGAGAGGGGUUGCUCCUAGUACGAGAGGACCGGAGUGAACGCACCACUGGUGUUCGGGUUGUCAUGCCAAUGGCAUUGCCCGGUAGCUAAGUGCGGAAAAGAUAAGCGCUGAAAGCAUCUAAGCGCGAAACUUGCCUCAAGAUGAGUCUUCCCUGGGCCUUUAAGGCCCCUGAAGGAACGUUUAAGACUAAGACGUUGAUAGGCUGGGUGUGUAAGUGCAGCGAUGCAUUGAGCUAACCAGUACUAAUGAUCCGUGAGGCUUAACCUU